AUUUGACGCGUCAGCCGCACCGCCAUGUUGAAGAGGGCUUUCAAGUUAAGCUAAUUCUAGACUUAACCUGAAUUUGUAGUGUUAGCUAAGAUUGUGUACAAAAAUGCUGUAACGCUGUGCAUCAUUUGCAUGGUCAUGGGGUAACCCGGAGCCUAUCCCAGGGGACUCGGGGCACAAGGCAGAGACACGCUGGACGGGGUGGCAACACAUCGCAGGCAUAACUGCGCACACACUCACACACCCAUUCACUCACUACAGAUUUGGAAAUUUGGAAAUGCCGAUCAGCCUACAGUGCAUGUCUUUGGACUGGGGGAGGAAACCAGAGUACCUGGAGGAAACCCCCAAAGCACAGGGAGAACAUGCAAACUCCGUGCACACAGGGCGGAGAUGGGUGUUGAACCUCCAACCCCGGAGGCAACAGUGCUAACCACUAAGCCACCGUGCUCCCCCUUGGGCAUUUAUUCCAAAAGGUACAAACAACUUAUGUGUUUUAUUUUAUAGGGAACUUCAUGCAGGAUGUGUUUCUGUUUCCGUUGAGAGGACAUCAGUUGAUUUUGAUAUGAUUUUGUCACAGUUUUUAAUAACUGGGUGUUCAGUGUUUACCAUGAGUUUAGUAACCUCAAUAAACCAUAUUUGGAACAUUA
This is a long non-coding RNA of Pangasianodon hypophthalmus (striped catfish), 644 nucleotides long. RefSeq lists it as uncharacterized. The transcript is spliced from 2 exons. Lineage: Eukaryota; Metazoa; Chordata; Actinopteri; Siluriformes; Pangasiidae. The record is from RefSeq and is a predicted model, not a curated record.